GGAGGGUGCAAGCGUUGUUCGGAAUUAUUGGGCGUAAAGAGCGUGUAGGCGGUUCGGUAAGUCAGAUGUGAAAGCCCUGGGCUCAACCCAGGAAGUGCAUUUGAAACUACCAGACUUGAGUACGGGAGAGGAGGGGGGAAUUCCCGGUGUAAAGGUGAAAUUCGUAGAUAUCGGGAGGAAUACCAGUGGCGAAGGCGCCCCUCUGGACCGAUACUGACGCUGAGACGCGAAAGCGUGGGGAGCAAACAGGAUUAGAUACCCUGGUAGUCCACGCCGUAAACGAUGAGCACUAGGCGUAGCGGGUAUUGACCCCCUGCUGUGCCGUAGCUAACGCAUUAAGUGCUCCGCCUGGGGGACUACGGUCGCAAGACUA
Molecule: ribosomal RNA, 373 nt
Filed under: uncultured organism
Description: partial 16S ribosomal RNA
Rfam family: Bacterial small subunit ribosomal RNA
Source: RNAcentral